This 467-nucleotide ribosomal RNA is filed under the name uncultured bacterium. Its description in RNAcentral is "bacterial SSU rRNA". It matches the Rfam family "Bacterial small subunit ribosomal RNA", at positions 28 to 510 of the family's 1533-position model. The record is from RNAcentral.
GACGAACGCUGGCGGCGUGCUUAACACAUGCAAGUCAUGGGGGCCCGCAAGGGCAACCGGCGAACGGGUGCGUAACACGUGAGCAAUCUGCCUAAGAUGUGGGGGAUAGCCGGCCCAACGGCCGGGUAAUACCGUAUACGCUCUCCGGGUGGCAUCACCUGGUGAGGAAACCUUCGGGGCAUCUAGAGGAGCUCGCGGCCUAUCAGCUAGUUGGUGGGGUAAUGGCCUACCAAGGCUGACGGGUAGCUGGUCUGAGAGGAUGGCCAGCCACAUUGGGACUGAGAUACGGCCCAGACUCCUACGGGAGGCAGCAGUGGGGAAUAUUGCGCAAUGGCCGAAAGGCCGACGCAGCGACGCCGCGUUGGGAUGAAGCAUUUCGGUGUGUAAACCCCUGUUGCUCGGGACGAACAACCUUUUCGAGAGGUCUGACGGUACCGGGUGAGGAAGCACCGGCUAACUCCGUGCCA